Molecule: RNA transcript, 3953 nt
Organism: Manihot esculenta (cassava)
Lineage: Eukaryota; Viridiplantae; Streptophyta; Magnoliopsida; Malpighiales; Euphorbiaceae
Gene name: delta(8)-fatty-acid desaturase 2
Exons: 3
Source: RefSeq, a predicted model, not a curated record
UCUUUAUUAGAACCGUACUAAGGCUUUAGCUUUAGAACUCAGCGAAAAAAGCAGAUCGAAAGAGCGACCAAGUCAACUCGAAAUCUCCGUCGUUAAAUAAGUAAGAUAACAUAGAUUUCUCGAUCGCUGGUUGAGUUCCUUGUUCAAAGACUAACUCUAAGCCUCGCAGUUCCGAUUUGACUCCAUUGUUGUUUUUGGCUCAAUGGAGGGAGAGAAGAAAUACAUUACAAGCGAAGAGCUUAAACAGCACAACAAGCCUGGAGAUUUGUGGAUCUCAAUCCAGUGCAAGGUAUAUGAUGUAUCGGACUGGAUUAAGGAGCACCCGGGUGGGGAUACUCCUCUCCUGAAUCUGGCUGGCCAAGAUGUAACUGAUGCAUUUAUUGCUUACCAUCCUGGUACUGCGUGGAAAUAUCUUGAUCAGCUUUUUACAGGAUAUUAUCUUGUAGAUUUCGAGGUCUCAGAGGUUUCCAAGGAUUAUAGGAAGCUUUACUCGGAGUUUUCCAAACUAGGUUUGUUUGACAAGAAAGGGCAUGUUACUAUGUAUGCUUUGGCGUGUGUUGCAUUCUUGUUCUGUAUUGUUGUUUAUGGUGUUUUGUGUUGCCUGAGUUUAUGGGCUCAUAUGGGUUCUGCUGCCUUAUUGGGAUUCCUUUGGAUUCAAAGUGCAUAUGUUGGUCAUGAUUCUGGACAUUACCAGGUAAUGUUGAGUCCUCGUUUUAACAAACUUGCUCAGCUUAUAUCUGGGAAUUGUUUAACUGGGAUAAGCAUUGCUUGGUGGAAAUGGACCCACAACGCACACCACCUUGCCUGCAAUAGUCUUGAUUAUGAUCCAGAUCUUCAACACAUACCUGUAUUUGCUGUAUCUUCACGUCUUUUCAAUUCUAUAACAUCGUACUUUUAUGGAAGAAAGAUGAAUUUUGAUCCAUUGUCUAGGUUUCUUGUGAGUUACCAACACUGGACAUUUUAUCCUGUGAUGUGUGUUGCAAGGGUCAAUUUGUUUCUGCAGACAUUGCUGUUAUUGUUCUCAACACGUAAAGUUCCAGAUAGAGCUCUUAACAUCAUGGGAAUUCUUGUCUUUUGGAUUUGGUUUCCCCUUCUUGUUUCUUGUUUACCUGAUUGGCCAGAGAGAGUGAUGUUCGUGCUCACUUCCUUUGCUGUCACCUCACUACAACACAUUCAAUUUUGUUUGAAUCAUUUCGCAGCAAACGUUUAUCUAGGACCUCCAAAUGGGAAUGACUGGUUUGAGAAACAGACUAGUGGGACUUUGGAUAUUUCAUGCUCCUCUUGGAUGGAUUGGGUGUAUGGUGGUUUGCAGUUUCAGCUCGAGCAUCAUUUGUUUCCCAGGUUGCCAAGAAGCCAAUUGAGGGGGGUUUCACCAUUGGUAAAGGAUUUGUGUAAGAAGCAUAGUUUGCCUUACAGGAGUUUGUCCUUCUGGGAGGCCAAUGUAUGGACAAUUAGGACUCUGAGGACUGCUGCCCUGCAGGCUAGAGACAUGACCAACCCUGUUCCAAAGAAUUUGGUGUGGGAAGCUGUUCACACACAUGGAUGAAGUUUGGGUUCCUUUUGUUUUUGAAGCAGGAUACCACCAUACUUGGAAGAACCCUUGAUUGCUGGAAGGACUUAGGAAGUUAGAUCAGCUACAGAGAUGAAGCCACUACCAGCUGCACCAGGAGCAGCAAGCAAUCCGAGGAAAUUUUUUUAGCAGGGGAGCUUGAGGUCCAUUGCUUCCAUGCAUCUAAAAGAUUGCCAAUACUCCCAGAAGAGUACUGGACAGGCAAGGAGGAUAAUUGUAGAUCUGACAUCAAGAAGCCUCUCUCAAGAGCAUUCCCUACCCAGGCAUCAGGAAAAGGGCAUUGGACAACUGCAAUUAGUACAUUACCUCUCUUACUAUAUGCAGCAAGAAACCUUGCAAGAUAUGUUCUAAUGUUGGCUUGCUCCUCCUUCAAUGUAAAGUCAAUUUCAUCUAGAGUGGCAGGGCCAAAUGGAUGGAAUGAAGAGUGUACUCCCAAGAGGCUAUUCUAAAGAUAAGUUACAACUUGCCUUUCAUCCUCAGUAUAGACAAGAUAGUAGCUCCUAGUUCCUAGCUCCUAGCAUCUCUUCCAAUAGAAACAUUACCGUAAUGCCUUUGGCUUCACAUGUUUUUAUGUCAGAGCUUAAGCCUGUGCACCUGUUGGCACUGGAAUAACCAUCAAGGUUAAUCACAGGAGUCAGACCAUUUCCAAAAGCUGGUAGGAAUUCCGUGUUUAUGGAGUUCUGGUUUUCUAAGGAACAAGUCUCUGCGAAGGUUCCCUUCAUUUCUGUUAUGCCUUAAUAGAUUGCCAUCCGCCAGCUUCAGAACCCACCGGUAUUCCUUAAAUGGAGGCUAAAUCUAUGUGAACCAGAGGCUUUUGUCACUUUGAGAUUUUCCUUGACUAAAGUAAUCACAUGGAAACAGCACUACCAUGGAAUCAACUAUUUGUACAUCAUGGUUCAACUAACUGCAUACACCUACCGGCAUUUGGAUAGCAGAUUUUGAGCCAGUACAGGUACCAGAUGUCUGGCAAAAUUACAUACUUGUAGACUUCUUUAAUUCCAAAGGAAUAUAUCCACAAAUAGCUGAUAUUUCCUUAGUUUAGAUGAGUUUAAUUGUAAAUUUCAAGCAGUUUAUAGCUCUUGAUUACGAAAGAAAAAGUUUGUGAAGGUCUGUGUAGCGAGGUAAUUCACUCCCUAACAGGGCAUCUGAAGUCGAUAGCAAGCAUAGAAGUGCUGCUGUUACACCCCCUUUCUCUUCUCACAAAAAGAAAUAUAUAAUAGAUAGAAAAAGAAAGGCUUUUUUUGAAGGAUCAUAUUUAUAUAGAAAUAUUCUCUCUAAGGUUGGUGAACCAUCCAAUAUUUCUUAUUUCUCAAUACUUACAGCAAUCAAUUUCCAUAGAGAAAAUUAUUUUUCUUUUUCCUUGGGGAAAAAAAAUCAGGAAAAAGAAAAUAAUUUGCCUUUUGGGAGUUUGGAAUUUUCAGGCCCAAGUACAUACAAACGCUAGAAUGUGGCAUGCAUAGGGAGGUUGAUUUUUAGUGUUACUGUUUGUUGAGAGAACAAGGGCAGGGCCCUUUCUUCUGAUCAGCUUUCAUUUCUGAUCUUCUAGUUUGUGUCGGUAACAUGUUAGUAUCCCUUUCUAAUUUCAACCAGCAAAGGACUCUUGUCUCCUGGUUUUGCUUUUGCCCUUUUCUUUCCUUAAAGAUAACUUAAACUAUUAAAUUGAGUGGAAAGAAUGACUCUUUAUCUCUGUCCAUUUUCUUUUCCUUUUCCUCUCUUGCAAGUUGCAGCCACUCAUCACAUGCAUGAAAAAAAUCAUAAACGUUGCUGAUUCUGAUUCUUAUACUGAUUCUAGUAGGUUUACACAACACAUUUGUCAAUUUUUCUUUUUUUUUUGUCUCCUAUAUGAAGUCGUUGAAUGCAUACUAUAUGCAAAAUUUCAUCAUGCUACGCCAUAUCUUGACAUCUGUAGCUAUUUUAAAGCGUUUGUCACCUUUAUUAUUAAGAGAACCCAUACUCAUGAGAAUUAAAUUUUAGAGCUUAUAAACAGGUUUGAUCAGCUUAUGAGCUAAGUCAAACACCUGGGGUCAAACAUAGAUGUCAAUUUUUCGUGAUUCAACUUUGUUUAAAACCAAUUCUACUUCCUGCUUCUUUAUAUGUCAUUUUAGGUCUCCCCUUUCUCUUUUUAUUCUUUCUACCACUAAUUUAUUAUGCUUUCAUAGACAUGGCUAAACUAUUUUAUUCGACCCUCUCUUAUUUUAUCCUCAUGUGUACUGUAUGUAUUUUGUGGUGGUCUUAUCGAUUAUCGUAAUACCAUAUAUUUAUCUUAAUAUCCAUAUUUCUGGCACACUAGCUUCUAGCACAUUUGGAAAAUCAUAUCUCAUUGUUACUUUUCUUCUUCUUUUCUUGGUUUCUUUUUUGAGGGAAGAUUUCUUAAACUAUCCCU